AGGCAUGCUGCAGAACCAAAACUGCGAAAGUGACAAAGUACUUCAUAGAAACGCUUGGUACCAUCUCGUGUGGCGAAAGCCUGCAAAGUACAUAGGGUAAAAAAAUUUGGUAAAAGGCUGUUGGGAAUGGUACUCCUAACAGUUCUU
RNAcentral lists this small RNA (147 nucleotides) under uncultured Dorea sp. RNAcentral's name for it is "FuFi-1 RNA". It matches the Rfam family "FuFi-1 RNA". Lineage: Bacteria; Bacillati; Bacillota; Clostridia; Lachnospirales; Lachnospiraceae. The record is from RNAcentral.